CCUGACCAACACAUCUCUUCUUGAGCGUCUGAAGUUUGUGUAUGUGCUGGGGAGCCACUUACAAUGAAACUGGGCAUUACCGGUUCUCCUACUCCCACUGUCAUCUGGACCAAAAAAGGAAAACCCAUCCCAAGGGCGCACACCUCCAACACUAAUGACUGUACUACACUAGAGCUCCUAAAAGCACAUCAUGGGGACACUGGAAACUACCUUGUGAUUGUUGAAAACGAUCAUGGCAGAGAUUUUGCAGAUAUUCCGUUCAUCAUUAUUGACAAGUGUGGACCCCCCGAAGGUCCUCUGGAGGUCAGUGAUGUGUUUGCGGACUCCUGCUGAUUGGCAUGGAAACCACCUCAGGACAAAAGAAACUUACCAAUUAUCGGUUACACAGUAGAGAAAUGCCAGGAGUGCUCAGACUUCUGGGAAAAGGUGCCUGGCAUACCGAUGUGCAAGUCCAGAAUAGUCACUGGACUGAAGACUGGAGUCAAGUUCAAGUUCAGGGUCAUGGCUGAGAACAUAUACGGAAUAGCAGAGCCCUUAGAGACAGACUGCCCAGUGUUAGUCAAGAAUCGAUUUGAGCCGGCUGCCAAGAAGACAGUAAUUUGGAAGAAGAUUCUGAAGAAGAUACACCAGUUGUUGAUACAGUUGCUCUGUCCACAGCUACAACCAACAAGUCCAAACCCACAACCAGCCAGUCCAAAGCCACAACCAGCCAGUCCAAAGUUUCAACCAAAGCAACAACCAGCUUUGUCGGAAAGAAAGCGCAGAAAAGAAAAAUGUGGUCUGUUGAAGAACAAGCUGCUGUUGAGCGACAACUGGGAAAAUAUCUUCACACUUCAAAGCUGCCAGAUAAACACGAGAUUGAGGAGAGCCGAAAAAAAGAACCUGUAUUGUUGAACAGACCUUGGCAACAAGUGAAAAGCUACAUUAAAAUAUGUAAAGUUUCAAUGCAGAGAAGAUUAAACAGUGCAAACUAAACAAGCUGUGUGUUUUGUGUCAAGCCAGCAGGGGUGAACUACUGGUUUAUUUCCUUGAAAAGCAUGCCUUAGUUACAAGGCUUAUUGUGUAUAAACAUUCAUCACUAUUUAUCUUUUGUUCGUAUUUUACAUUAACAUUCGACCUUGUACUCAUGUCCUUCGGAUUUUUUGUUGCGCAUAAUCAAAAAGGAUAAAUGCUAGGAAUGAAACUUUACAAACAUUAAUAUCCCAGCAUGAGAACUUAUUCCCCUGUGUAUUUUGGUCCUUUUUUCUACAUAAUUGGAGUUAUGAGACAACUGGAAUAUAGGGGAAUCAGUGUCCUUAGGACACGUGUUGAAUUGUUCUUUUUUAUCUUCAUUUUAUAUGCGUGAUGUGCUCACAUAAAGUUUUGUUUUAUUUUUGGGACUGCUUUUCAUGUGAGUCCAAUUUCUGUAUUAUCUACAUGUAGUGCUCCAUCAAGGCCUUAAUGGAAGGUUGCCCCGCCCUUCCUUUCCAAUGAUUUGUAACUUGAUUUGUAACAUUAUUGACAGUGUGUUAUGGCGCAUAUGUAGUAGCAGCUGUUUUUCUUAGUAUAAAUUACUUUUUUGGAUUUGUGUUGCAUAUUUCUCAAAAGGAUUUACUGCUAGAGUAGUAUACAUAUAAAUGUAUUGAUCAGCAUCUGCACUUUUAUUAUACGCUUUUGUAACAACAGGCAUGUUCUUUGUUAAAUUUAUUUUGCAAAAGUACAACAAACCUUUAACCCACAAUGGUAUCUUUAAGCAGCUUUUAGCUCCAUAUUUUGAAGAAAUGGCUUUUCUUCUUGCCCCAUCUUCAGCCUUUGAACUACAUGUAGCUUAAAGUUAAAACUUUUUCUGUAAGCUAGUUUCAUGUGAUUUCAAUGUCUGUAUUAUCUACAUGCAGUGCUCCAGCUAGGCCUUAAUGGAAGGGUGUCCCGCCCUGCCCUUCCGAAGUCCCGCCCUGCCCUUCUGAGGGCCCGCCCUGCCCUUCUGAGGCCCCGCCCUGCCCUUUUAUUAAAAAAAUGAGUUAAUAGCUUUUUUUUAUCUCCUAAAGAUGUUUCAUUAAUAAACCCAUAUGUUUUGUGCUGGGUUACUUGUUUGAAUAAUUAUAUUUCGUCAAUAUAAUGAUAAGUUGAUGACUGUAAUUGGUUUAUGUGUGGACUAUUUCUUAAUAUUUGAUGUGUUUAAUUUCACUAAAUGUUACAAUUUAUAAGUUUCAAGAGACAUAUAUGUUGGAGUGUGUUAUUGUAUGAGUGUUGGUAUUUUUCGCCUCAUUACGUGUGGACAUGAAUGUCAAUAGAUUGGAAUUAGAAGAUGAGAAUGUCGUACAUGAUCUCAUGACCACACUAUCAUUUUGUUUUGACUUAUUAAUAUAAUGCAACAUACAUGUCGUCUACUGUUAUUACAUAAAUAUAGUACAACAUACAUGUCAUCUACUGAAUGUAAUAAUUUGUUUGACAGACAUUUUGUGGAUUUUUCAAGACAGCAUAUUUUCCAAAAUACAUAAAGAUCACUUACGUAACUUUUUGCAUUCAAAAUAUUUCAGUGUUACAAUUAUGGUAACUGCUUCUUUCUGAUUGUUUUAAAAAAGACAUCUCAAUUGAGAGUUGUGUUUUGUUUUACAAAUUUUAUUUUAAUACUAAUAAGAAAAUUGGAAUACCGAAAAAUAUUUAUUAUUUUAAUAAAACAGAUUUUUGCUUCUCCUGAAAAAAAAUGUCAGUAACACAAAAGCUGAUAAGUCAUAUAACUGACAUUUUUAGCUUUAUAAUAUUUAGUAGUACCUGAGUAGUUACCUCGUUGAUUAAAAUAUUUAAAUCAAAA
Dreissena polymorpha is the source of this 2791-nucleotide long non-coding RNA. RefSeq lists it as uncharacterized. NCBI's taxonomy places the organism in Eukaryota, Metazoa, Mollusca, Bivalvia, Myida, Dreissenidae. The transcript has 5 exons. The record is from RefSeq and is a predicted model, not a curated record.